This 484-nucleotide ribosomal RNA is filed under the name uncultured bacterium. Its description in RNAcentral is "partial 16S ribosomal RNA". It matches the Rfam family "Bacterial small subunit ribosomal RNA", at positions 30 to 507 of the family's 1533-position model. The record is from RNAcentral.
AUUGAACGCUGGCGGCAGGCCUAACACAUGCAAGUCGAGCGGAUGAAGGGAGCUUGCUCCUGGAUUCAGCGGCGGACGGGUGAGUAAUGCCUAGGAAUCUGCCUGGUAGUGGGGGAUAACGUCCGGAAACGGGCGCUAAUACCGCAUACGUCCUGAGGGAGAAAGUGGGGGAUCUUCGGACCUCACGCUAUCAGAUGAGCCUAGGUCGGAUUAGCUAGUUGGUGGGGUAAAGGCCUACCAAGGCGACGAUCCGUAACUGGUCUGAGAGGAUGAUCAGUCACACUGGAACUGAGACACGGUCCAGACUCCUACGGGAGGCAGCAGUGGGGAAUAUUGGACAAUGGGCGAAAGCCUGAUCCAGCCAUGCCGCGUGUGUGAAGAAGGUCUUCGGAUUGUAAAGCACUUUAAGUUGGAAGGAAGGGCAGUAAGUUAAUACCUUGCUGUUUUGACGUUACCAUCAGAAUAAGCACCGGCUAACUUCGUG